Long non-coding RNA from Corvus hawaiiensis (hawaiian crow), 1016 nucleotides. RefSeq lists it as uncharacterized. The record is from RefSeq and is a predicted model, not a curated record. Lineage: Eukaryota; Metazoa; Chordata; Aves; Passeriformes; Corvidae. The transcript is spliced from 4 exons.
UUUCACAGUGCUCAAAUCCCUCCUUCAUUGUUUUAACAUCUAUGUAACAUUUCUUUUUGCUUUUCCCUUCCAGAAUUGAAAGGCCCUUUCAUGGAGCACAGUGACCUGCCCCGGAGGGCUCUCCCCAGCCUGUGGUUUCAUGCUCUGCAGUCCCAUCCAAGACAACUGCAUUUGGGAUUUCUCUUCCAGCCCAUUUCCCACAGAGCAAUUGGGAGCGGCCUGAUCCUGUCUCCUUACUCCUGAAGCUCCACCACAGGUGCUGGAGGGAUUCUAGGGACAAGGCUGCUCUUACAGCCAAAAUAUCAUCAAGAUUCCUGUGUUUCUCGGAGAUCCAAGCACAGGUUCCAGCCUGCCCUGGUUUGGCUGUCCUCACCAUUUGGCCGUGGACCACCAGGUCCUGCCACCUCCUGCCAGCAUCUCCCUCUGCUCAUGGUGUUUCCUGCACCUCCUCUGAGAUGCUGAAACAAUGAACCGUGGACAAGAUUAAACCUGGUUCAAUUCUUGUCCUGUGCGUGGACGUGCACCCACAGCUCUGUUGAAGACCACAGAAAUUAUCCUGGGUGUGUUCUGCCAAGAUUUCGCCUUAAACAGAGAAAAGAUGGAAACUGGAGCGUCUUACAGCUGAAAACUGCUGUCUGCUGUGUUGUUCCCUGGGACAGAGAAGAGCCUGUGUAUAAUCAGCACUGAGCAGGGAAACAUCCCUGCUGUCCAGCACAGUCAUUUUCUUCAGUGUUGGACAAGUGCAAAAAGGACAGAAAAACCACUGACAAUGGUCCUGUCUAGGGAGUUGCAAUCUUACAUCCCCCACCCUCCUCUGCUUCUGAUGCUCAGGUUUAUGGAGCUCCAAACUCAAGCUUCAGAAGGGCUUUCUAGGUAGUUACAUCAGGUACUUCAAUUUCAUUCAAGCAGGUCUUGUUAUGGGAAUUACUUUUGUGGUAGUAAUGAGGUUUUCAUCUCUACCCUUUACUAGGGAUUGCACACUUGAAAUGGAGACAGGCUGCAGCUGAAUUCCAGUA